AGCGAACGCUGGCGGCAGGCUUAACACAUGCAAGUCGAACGGGCUUCUUCGGAAGUCAGUGGCAGACGGGUGAGUAACACGGGGGAACGUGCCCUUCGGUUCGGAAUAACUCAGGGAAACUUGAGCUAAUACCGGAUACGCCCUUUUGGGGAAAGGUUUACUGCCGAAGGAUCGGCCCGCGUCUGAUUAGCUUGUUGGUGGGGUAACGGCCUACCAAGGCGACGAUCAGUAGCUGGUCUGAGAGGAUGAUCAGCCACACUGGGACUGGGACACGGCCCAGACUCCUACGGGAUGCAGCAGUGGGGAAUAUUGGACAAUGGGCGCAAGCCUGAUCCAGCCAUGCCGCGUGAGUGAUGAAGGCCUUAGGGUUGUAAAGCUCUUUUGUCCGGGACGAUAAUGACGGUACCGGAAGAAUAAGCCCCGGCUAACUUCGUG
RNAcentral lists this ribosomal RNA (435 nucleotides) under uncultured bacterium. RNAcentral's name for it is "partial 16S ribosomal RNA". It matches the Rfam family "Bacterial small subunit ribosomal RNA", at positions 29 to 507 of the family's 1533-position model. The record is from RNAcentral.